Bombus impatiens (common eastern bumble bee) is the source of this 3547-nucleotide long non-coding RNA. RefSeq lists it as uncharacterized. The transcript has 3 exons. NCBI's taxonomy places the organism in Eukaryota, Metazoa, Arthropoda, Insecta, Hymenoptera, Apidae. The record is from RefSeq and is a predicted model, not a curated record.
UGUUGCCUAGACAUUUGCAGUCUAACGAUAGAUGUAGUUGGACGACGAGCAUGUUAAGAGAUUUUUGCAAGUAGAAAUCGGUUCCAAGAAUAGGAUAUUAGGAUGCAUAGUAACAAGCUGCCAAUUGACUAUACAAUGACACGCAGCAAGAAUGUAUUCUGCUUAUGAAAUCUUUAAGUGUGCAUACAUUAUGAUUGGAAUAGAAAGAGUGAGGUAUGAGUCAUUAAACAGUUGUUCGAGAGUUAUGAUAUAAUCACGGACUACUCAGAAUUAUUGAAAGGCGUCGUAGCAAUAAGGAAAUAACGUAUGUUUAUCUACUUAUGAGAGUGCACGAUUAUUGUUGCCUAAUCCAGUGACUCUAUAUAGCGUAUUUGCGAAGAAAGAAUUUUUUCUUGGUGAAACCGGUUCCAAUCGACAAGAAUUAAUCAGAAAUCGAUAAUAAUCCGAUGCUGAGAGGUCGAGGAUAAAAGGAACGCCGACUGAACGUUUUCUCGACCGCGUGGAUAGUCGGCCACAAAGGCCGGAUGCCAUCGGCGGUGCACGCAGGUGGGCACAGUUCUAAUGCCAGAGACGCUUUGCAUUGCACGUGGCAUUGCAAGGCCAACCGGCCACAAGAAAUCGUCGUCAGGAAUAUGGGGGCCUGGCGACCAGUUCGAGGCGUGGAAAACGCCGCCGCGAUGCGAACAGAUAUGUUUCGUUUCGAGAAAAAUCGGUUGCGUAAUCACGCGAUAUCAUCGCAAAAUCAUCGGCUACCUCCAUCAACCAACCAGUUUCCAUACGAGCAGUAUGUAGCCGUGUUCAGUCGAGACAGAUUACUGUAACGGAGCGAAACGGAGACGUUCAGUUCGCAACGAUGCCACAUAAAAUCGUCUGAUGUAAGUGGCAUGAUUUCACACCGGAGCACUUCACCAAAGAUUAUAUUUCUGAUAAUUGAAGAGUUCGUGAGAAUAACGAUUAAGUAGAGUGUCGUAAAAAGUAAAAUUUUUAGUAUUUGGGGUUUCGUGAACUUCUUCUCGUUGUACAAAAUUCAAGGUUUAAUAUGUUCCUUUCUUACAAUAUGAAUGCCGCUUCAUCAAUAUUUAAAUUUUAAGAGAAGGAUUACGACUGUUUUUUCUCGGAAUACUUUAAUUGUUUUUCUUUCGCACGAGAAACCCGAGUUGUAGCGCAACAUGUGAUAAAGGUUUUAUUGUAUGCGGGAAAUGUAGUUCAUAGAUUAAAUAGUGACCCAGAUGUAAUUGAACUUAAUCCGGAGAUACCAAGAUAUGAGGAAACACGAUAUUAAAUGGUAACUGAGAUUUAUUGGUGAAGAGAGAAUUAUUGAAAAUCAGAAGAAGAAAAAAGAAAAAAAAGGAACAUUUAAUACUGGAACUAAAACCUUUUGAAAUGAGUGUCAUAUUUUUUGUGUUUGUAAUUACUAGAAACAUGCAGGUACUUUUAACGAAGUAAAAUAUCGACUGUUAUUGAAAAAUAAGCUAAAGUAAAAGAAAGUGUGUCGUUCGAAUAAUUAUAAGCGAUUUUUUGAAACCUGUAAAAUUGCAGUUUCGAUUUGAGAUGGAUUGUCACUGUUUUCCUGUUGAAACCUUCGAAUAUCAUCAAAUAUCAUUGUUUCUAAAAUAUAGUGGGUGGUAUCCGCGUUCGUUAUUUCUUUUCCGUCUCAUCUGGUAGAAAGUCUGAUAAAAAACGUGUCGUCUGUUCCGUGCUCGAUUUCCUCCGUGUGUUUUCCUUCCUUGCUUUCCAGGACGCUCUCGGCAAACCAUUCGGCAAAGAUUUCUACGUCACCGGAAAAUCGCCCGCAGGUUUUGCCGGCUGAAUGAAAAACGAGGUCAGCUUCUCGAAGCAUUGCCUUUUCAAUCCUCAAAGAGUUCGUUGCCGAGUUUCUUAGCUUCUCGCCCCUGUAUGGAUGCUCGCGAGCGCGACUGCAUUUUCCCCGAGUUCUUCCAUUCCAGGCGAUACCACUUUUUUUUCACGUUCCCCGUCAUGACUUUCAUGGUCAUUAACAUCGAAGAAGGAGAGACUCGUUGCUAAAGUUUCUGGAGAAGACCCGUCUGUUUGUUUCAUUGUGUGUGCAAGCUCCUAGCCGAUUGUUUUUCACCUCUGAUUUUGAUCUAAAUCAUGACGAAGCGCAAAACCACGACUUGAGUUGGAAAGACAUAAUUGUCCUUAAUGCAACGACUAUGCGGCGUGAAAUGUAAUGAAAAAUACAAAUGUGAUUUUUUUAUGGUACAUCAUUUAGAGUCAUACGAUAGUUGGAUGAAAUAGCAUUAAAUUAUUGAAAUUUACCAGUCGCUUUUUCCAAUCCACUAUUAAUAAUGGCAAAAAAUAUAAACAUGUAGACAUUAUAAUAAUAGUACUACUCAUAUGCUUUUUCUUCAAGCUUCUUGUCGAAGUUUUGCUCGAGCUAGAAUUAAACAUAACUAACUGCAUAACGCUAAAUAACCAUGUACCAAAAUAAAAAGUAUAAUUAUAGAAGAAAGACAGAAAAAAUUAACAGCACCAAGAAUCAUUACUCCUAUCAUUAUUCUUAAAAGUGUUACAAUAUACCAUACCCUAUACCACACGAUCGUAAAGUUAAUUACCGCGUUCGAAACGCGUGACGUUUGCCUUGCGUGACGCAUGAUCCUCACGAAAACACAUCUUCGACGCAGCAUCGCGGACCACUAUGGAACCAGACUCGGAGCCGUGAACCAGAUUCUCCGAGUCAGUUAUUUACAGUUGGUCCCUAGUUCAUGGAUGAUUUCAGAUUUCCACGCAUCGACGCUCACGCCUCGCGAUAAUUCGUCGAAGAAACCCUCGUCAUGGCGAUUCCGUUUGGCGGAGAUUAUCACGCGGUGAUCUUCUCAGCGGGGAAAAUAAUUAGCCCGGAAAUUGCUUGGCAAAUUUCUCGGGGUUAGAAGAUAUAUAAUAGAAUAAUCGAUGUUCGUGAAACCACCGUGCCGGACGUUCGCCAUGAUUCUCGGCUUAUAAAUUGCAUUUCUACCCUACCAACGGGGUGAAGGAGGGGAAAAGGCCAUUCUACAGGGGGGGGGGAAAAAAUGUGUUGCCGCUUCCGUUCUCGUUUGCGGGCUCAUCGAUGAGCCGAGAGCAAUUGGACUUGGUUAUGGGCGAUUCGCGCAUUACGGAUGAUUUACGGUAUUCACGGACCGAUGCGUUGCUUGUGUGGGACGAAAUUAUCGAGAGAUAACUAGUUGGAUGUUACAGUGCGAUCCUAGGACCCGUCCAUUGUGACGGGACGCGGAGGCUAUGCUUUAUGAAAACGCGCUUAAUUGCCUGUUAAUCGCGAUACUGCACGAUGGAAAUGUCAGUGAUCGUGAGUAAUUAUAGAGCAGGGUUUAGUUUAUUUUUCGCUUAUUUUGUUGGAGUGCAUUGGGUCAAGAAGGUUAGCAGAAGAUGGAGAUUUAGCGUGACAGGGAAGAGGCGUUGUCGAGGCGGCAUGGAAGAAUGAAUAAACAUUGUAAACGUUAUAGGACUCGUUGCACAUAGUAGUUAGCACGGCUUUCGAUGGAAGUUUUCUCCUCGUUUGCAUUGAACUGGGGUUUAUAUUGAAAGA